RNAcentral lists this ribosomal RNA (229 nucleotides) under uncultured bacterium. Its description in RNAcentral is "partial 16S ribosomal RNA". It matches the Rfam family "Bacterial small subunit ribosomal RNA", at positions 568 to 796 of the family's 1533-position model. The record is from RNAcentral.
CGCGUAGGCGGAUAUGAAAGUGUCAUGUGAAAUCCCCCGACUCAAUCGGGGAAUUGCUUGGCAAACUACAUAUCUUGAGGCAAGUAGGGGUGUGUGGAACUCUUGGUGGAGCGGUGGAAUGCGUAGAUAUCAAGAGGAACGCCGAAGGUGAAGACAGCACACUGGGCUUGUACUGACGCUGAGGCGCGAAAGCGUGGGGAGCAAACAGGAUUAGAUACCCUGGUAGUCC